RNAcentral lists this ribosomal RNA (429 nucleotides) under bacterium. RNAcentral describes it as "partial 16S ribosomal RNA". It matches the Rfam family "Bacterial small subunit ribosomal RNA", at positions 355 to 776 of the family's 1533-position model. The record is from RNAcentral.
UGGGGAAUCUUCCGCAAUGGACGAAAGUCUGACGGAGCAACGCCGCGUGAGUGAUGACGGCCUUCGGGUUGUAAAGCUCUGUUAAUCGGGACGAAUGGUUCUUGUGCAAAUAGUGCGAGGAUUUGACGGUAUCGGAAUAGAAAGCCACGGCUAACUACGUGCUAGCAGCCGCGGUAAUACGUAGGUGGCAAGCGUUGUCCGGAAUUAUUGGGCGUAAAGCGCGCGCAGGCGGAUUGGUCAGUCUGUCUUAAAAGUUCGGGGCUUAACCCCGUGAUGGGAUGGAAAAUGCCAAUCUAGAGUAUCGGAGAGGAAAGUGGAAUUCCUAGUGUAGCGGUGAAAUGCGUAGAUAUUAGGAAGAACACCAGUGGCGAAGGCGACUUUCUGGACGAAAACUGACGCUGAGGCGCGAAAGCCAGGGGAGCGAACGGG